CCUGCGGAAGGAUCAUUACCGAGUGAGGGCCCUCUGGGUCCAACCUCCCACCCGUGUUUAUUUUACCUUGUUGCUUCGGCGGGCCCGCCUUAACUGGCCGCCGGGGGGCUUACGCCCCCGGGCCCGCGCCCGCCGAAGACACCCUCGAACUCUGUCUGAAGAUUGUAGUCUGAGUGAAAAUAUAAAUUAUUUAAAACUUUCAACAACGGAUCUCUUGGUUCCGGCAUCGAUGAAGAACGCAGCGAAAUGCGAUACGUAAUGUGAAUUGCAAAUUCAGUGAAUCAUCGAGUCUUUGAACGCACAUUGCGCCCCCUGGUAUUCCGGGGGGCAUGCCUGUCCGAGCGUCAUUGCUGCCCUCAAGCACGGCUUGUGUGUUGGGCCCCGUCCUCCGAUCCCGGGGGACGGGCCCGAAAGGCAGCGGCGGCACCGCGUCCGGUCCUCGAGCGUAUGGGGCUUUGUCACCCGCUCUGUAGGCCCGGCCGGCGCUUGCCGAUCAACCCAAAUUUUUAUCCAGGUUGACCUCGGAUCAGGUAGGGAUACCCGCUGAACUUAAGCAUAUCAAUAGGCCGGAGGA
RNAcentral lists this ribosomal RNA (574 nucleotides) under Penicillium granulatum. Its description in RNAcentral is "eukaryotic LSU rRNA". The stretch from base 195 to 347 matches the Rfam family "5.8S ribosomal RNA". Lineage: Eukaryota; Fungi; Ascomycota; Eurotiomycetes; Eurotiales; Aspergillaceae. The record is from RNAcentral.